UUUGGAAUUUUGGACAAUGGGCGAAAGCCUGAUCCAGCGACGCCGCGUGGACGAUGAAGGCCUUCGGGUUGUAAAGUCCUUUUGCUAGGGACGAAUUUUUGACGGUACCUAGCGAAUAAGAGGUUGCUAACUCUGUGCCAGCAGCAGCGGUAAUACAGAGACCUCAAGCGUUAUCCGGAAUCAUUGGGCGUAAAGCGUACCGAUAGGUGGUCAAGAAAGUCAGAGGUGAAAUCUCAAGGCUCAACUUUGAGACUGUCCUUUGAAACUUCUCGACUAGAGGGGCAAAGAGGAAGCUAGAACGAACGGUGUAGUAGUGAAAUGCGUUGAUAUCGUUCGGAAUACCGAUAGCGAAGGCAGGCUUCUGGGUGCCACCUGACACUGCUAGGACGAAAGCGUGGGGAGCGAAUGGGAUUAGAUACCCCCGUAGUCC
This 430-nucleotide ribosomal RNA is filed under the name uncultured bacterium. RNAcentral's name for it is "bacterial SSU rRNA". It matches the Rfam family "Bacterial small subunit ribosomal RNA", at positions 355 to 796 of the family's 1533-position model. The record is from RNAcentral.